CGGUAUAGCUCAGUUGGUAGAGCGGCGCAUUCGUAAUGCGUAGGUCGCAAGUUCAAGUCUUGUUGCCG
RNAcentral lists this transfer RNA (68 nucleotides) under uncultured Dialister sp. It matches the Rfam family "tRNA". From Rfam's summary of the family: Transfer RNA (tRNA) molecules are approximately 80 nucleotides in length. Their secondary structure includes four short double-helical elements and three loops (D, anti-codon, and T loops). Further hydrogen bonds mediate the characteristic L-shaped molecular structure. tRNAs have two regions of fundamental functional importance: the anti-codon, which is responsible for specific mRNA codon recognition, and the 3' end, to which the tRNAs corresponding amino acid is attached (by aminoacyl-tRNA synthetases). tRNAs cope with the degeneracy of the genetic code in two manners: having more than one tRNA (with a specific anti-codon) for a particular amino acid; and 'wobble' base-pairing, i.e. permitting non-standard base-pairing at the 3rd anti-codon position. The record is from RNAcentral. Lineage: Bacteria; Bacillati; Bacillota; Negativicutes; Veillonellales; Veillonellaceae.